This 3213-nucleotide unclassified non-coding RNA is filed under the name Thrips palmi. Its description in RNAcentral is "sn1-specific diacylglycerol lipase alpha, transcript variant X5". The record is from RNAcentral. Lineage: Eukaryota; Metazoa; Arthropoda; Insecta; Thysanoptera; Thripidae.
GAGCGAGCGGAGCUGCUCUCGGCUCGGCUCAGCCCGGCUCGGCACCGCUGUCGGCUUUUGCUUUUGCUUUGCGUGCCCAGUUGCCGCCAGUUGGCGUCGCGAGUAGGACGCGUGUUCAUGACGAUCCGUUGGCCGAGGGAGCGUGUGUGAAACCCAGGGGCAGGGGCAAGGGUGUAAGAGGACUUUUCGAGUUGAUUUACCCUCUUAGCGUCGUAGCAGUCUCUCGUAGAACUAGUGCCAUGCAUCAGUAGACGGACCUCUUGUAGUCCUGGUUUUCGUUUGCCGAUUCAGCUUCCUUUUUUCCACAUUGUUGGCUGGAGCCCCGCUCCGUUCACGGCCGUGUAUAUGUGUUGUUUAUGUGCUUGCCUGGUCUCGCAGAAGUUGCGCUGGCUGUGUUGUGUGUUGACGGUGGCCAUUGUGCUGUGUCUGGCGGCCCUGUCACUGUUCGCCGCGUGCAGCCUGGGGCUGCUCAAGCCCCAAACUAAGUGGUGCUGCGCGUUCACCACCAAGGAUGUAACUUGUCUCGGCGACCCGCUGUACACCUGGCAGGGCGACUCGGACUCGGACUCCGCAGUCGCGCGGCUGGGGCACUUCUAGAACGCUGAAGCACGCUGAAGCAGGACAGGGCAGUGGUGCAGCCGUCAUGGGCACUGGUGACGCCUGGUGACGCAGUGACCGCGACGUCUUGACCCUCACCCUCACCACCGUGCCAUGCCUGGCUUGGUCAUCUUCCGGCGGCGAUGGAGCGUCGGCAGCGACGACCUGGUGGUCCCCGCGGCCAUCCUGUGCGUCGUGCACCUGGCAUGGCUGGGGGCGCUGGUAGCCUUGUUGACCACGACAGACAUGGACCACGAGUCGGUGUGGUGCUCGCGACAGCUGUGGCGACACUUGGUGGGCUACCUCUGCAUCCUGGGCGUGACGGUGGUGCUGGAGGCCAUGAUGGCCUUCACGGCCAUGCGCGGCGGCAUCCUGGAGGUGGAACGCCGGUCCGGCAUCAAAUACCAGCUCUACUGCAGGCUCGGUGUUUUGGUAUUUGAGCUGGUUUGGCUGAUUCUGGGCUCCGUGUGGCUCGGCUUUCAUUACUACGACUGCCCAGUGGGCCUCCCUAAAAAUGUCAUGAUGGGCAUGGUGAUGAGCAACUGGAUUGUGUUCCUGAUCGUGGUGCUGACUGUCUGGUGCUCCUACGACGCGGCGGGCCGCUCGUGGGUCAAGAUGAAGAAGUACCAGCGCUCGAUGCGCGAGGCGGAAAGUCGCUUCCAGUACAAGAGGUCGGGCUCCAGGAACCGCAACUGGCGGCAAAGAAAAGUCAUGAGAGCGUAUCAAGAGAGCUGGAAUUCUCGAUGCAGACUUUUGUUUUGCUGCAUUCAGGGCAGCGAUAGAAACAGAAAUUCAUUUACAGAAAUUGCAAGGCUUCUUUCUGAUUUUUUUCGGGACCUUGAUGUUGUUCCUUCUGAUGUAGUAGCUGGCCUGGUGCUCUUAAGAAAGUUUCAAAAAAUUGAGCGCGAGUCCAUUGUGUCUCAGCGAAAGAAUGAAACAUACGAGUUUCUUUCUGGAGUAGCAGUAACAUCACAAACGAGGUUUUUUGCUUUGCAUGAUCCUCAACAUUAUCAGCAUUUCCAAGAUGUUAUCCGUUAUAUGAAUUUUGCUCUUGGUGCCUAUGGGUGGCCAAUGUAUUUAAUGACACAUUCUGGUUGCGGAUUGUGUCAUAUUUGUUCAAAGUUAAGCUGUUGUCUUUGCAUUCCGUGUAUGAGGCAAAAAGAUACUGCUAUAAUAGUAGAAGACAACUGCUGUCGAUGUAACUACGCUGCAUUGCAAAGAAUGGUUGAAGAUGGAGAUGUAGAUGUUGUGUAUGCAACAUACCAUGUUGAUGUCGGAGAGACCCCAUUCUUUGUUUCUGUAGACUAUGGGCGCCAGAAAGUUGUUAUAAGUAUUCGCGGCACUUUAUCCAUGAAGGAUGUCAUAACUGAUCUUAAUGCCGAGUCAGAGACUCUCCCCCUGGAUCCACCAAGAGAGGACUGGAGUGGUCACAAGGGUAUGGUGCAUGCAGCUGUUUACAUCCGAGAAAAAUUAGAAAGUGAAAAUGUGCUUGUCCGCGCUUUCAAUCACUGUGCAGAGAGAGGCACUCAAGACUUCGGUCUUGUGCUGGUUGGACAUUCCUUGGGAGCAGGAGCUGCUGCAAUACUUGCAAUUAUGAUGAGGCAGCAAUAUCCCGAUCUCCAAUGUUUUGCCUAUUCCCCACCUGGAGGUUUGCUUAGCCUGCCAGCAGUGGAGUAUUCCAAACAAUUUAUUACAUCUGUUGUGGUUGGUAAAGACGUUGUGCCCAGAAUAGGAUUACAUCAGAUGGAAUCUCUUCGUGCUGAUCUCAUAAAUGCUAUUAAGCGCAGCAAAGACCCAAAGUGGAAAACCAUAAUGUGCAAUGUGUGUUGUUGCGGUUGUGCACCCAUGCCUACAUCAGCAGUUGAACUGAGUGCUGAUGACUCAAAUAUUGUUGAGUACCAGAAGGAAAAAGACAUAGCAAGAGAAGUGGCUUACCAUCCAAACGAUUCCAGCAUAGCUCUCACUGUUCACCAACCUCUAUAUCCACCAGGCCGCAUCAUUCAUGUAGUGAGACAUCACCCAAAGAAAGGAGAGAAUAAGUAUGAGAAAAAAAAGUGGAGGCAAGUCCUAGGCAAACGUGAGCCUGUAUACCAAGCUUUGUGGGCCAACAAUACAGAUUUUGAUGAAGUAUUAAUAAGUCCCGUCAUGAUUCAAGACCACAUGCCUGAUACCGUAUUAAAUGCCCUUAAAAAGGUUAUGACUUCUCAUGAGAAGCAAAUGAAAGCUACAAAUCCCCACCACCGCCAAAAUAGUGUUCAAAGCAACAAAAGUUCUUAUGUGCCACAUUGCAAUGAUACCAGGUACUUGAAGUCUACCUUACGUGUAAUUCGAAUGAAAAUCCCCUCUCAACCCCUGACGACCUUACCACCGACUCAUCAAUUGGUGCAGUUGGUGACACGGCCAUAGAUCAUUUGUUAUCCGCUGGCCCAAGUGGGAACACUGCCUAGUUAUGACCCUUUCUUAGAAUUUACCUAUUUGGUUAUAACAUCUGUUGGUCCCGCCAAGCCUCAACGAACAGUUUCAACAAUUACCACAUCCCCCACUUCUGGGAUUGGAACACUUUUGGAUUCUGAACGUUGCCAUCUCCUUACUGCAGGCAGCACUAAUCUUGGUUCC